UGAGGAAUAUUGGACAAUGGGCGCAAGCCUGAUCCAGCCAUGCCGCGUGAGUGAAGAAGGCCUUCGGGUUGUAAAGCUCUUUCAGAUGUGAAGAUAAUGACGGUAACAUCAGAAGAAGCCCCGGCUAAAUUCGUGCCAGCAGCCGCGGUAAUACGAAUGGGGCAAGCGUUGUUCGGAAUCACUGGGCUUAAAGCGUGCGCAGGCGGUUUUGCAAGUCAGAAGUGAAAGCCCAGGGCUCAACCCUGGAAUUGCUUUUGAAACUGCAAAACUAGAAUAUGGGAGAGGUUAGCAGAAUUCCGAGUGUAGAGGUGAAAUUCGCAGAUAUUCGGAGGAAUACCAGUGGCGAAGGCGGCUAACUGGACCAUUAUUGACGCUCAGGCACGAAAGCGUGGGGAGCAAACAG
This 403-nucleotide ribosomal RNA is filed under the name uncultured bacterium. RNAcentral describes it as "bacterial SSU rRNA". It matches the Rfam family "Bacterial small subunit ribosomal RNA", at positions 355 to 775 of the family's 1533-position model. The record is from RNAcentral.